CCUACGGGUGGCAGCAGUGAGGAAUAUUGGUCAAUGGUCGAGAGUCUGACCCAGCCAAGCCGCGUGAAGGAUGAAUGCCCUCUGGAUUGUAAACUUCUUUUAUAUGGGCAUAAAACAUGGUAUGCAUCCCCUCAUGUGUGUACCUUAUGAAUAAGCAUCGGCUAACUCCGUGCCAGCAGCCGCGGUAAUACGGAGGAUCCGAGCGUUAUCCGGAUUUAUUGGGUUUAACGGGUGCGGAGGCGGGUUGUUAAGUCCGGGGUGAAAGGCAGGGGCUCAACCGCGGGACUGCAGUUGAAACUGGCAGUCUGGAGUAGGGGAGAGGUAGGCGGAAUGCGUGGUGGAGCGGUGAAAUGCAUAGAUAUCGCGAAGAACUCCGAUUGCGAAGGCAGCACGCUGGA
RNAcentral lists this ribosomal RNA (398 nucleotides) under uncultured bacterium. RNAcentral's name for it is "partial 16S ribosomal RNA". It matches the Rfam family "Bacterial small subunit ribosomal RNA", at positions 338 to 733 of the family's 1533-position model. The record is from RNAcentral.